Molecule: long non-coding RNA, 2591 nt
Organism: Heterocephalus glaber (naked mole-rat)
Lineage: Eukaryota; Metazoa; Chordata; Mammalia; Rodentia; Bathyergidae
Source: Ensembl
CCCAAUCACAGAAGUUCUAUUCUUGGGAGUAGUAUAUCCAAAAAAGGCAGACCAGACUGGAAAUGUGAACUACUGCUGUCAAUUAGCAUCUAGCGCAAACCAGGGCAGCUAAUAAAACUCAGAGGAAAUUUGCACAGAUGCUGCUUUGGAGAACUUGACAACCUGGGUUGCAGAACUGAGCCUUGGUAAACCUGUCUCUAUUACAGCGUGUUGCCAUGCAUCUAAGUGCAUAAGGUCUUUGGCCUUCAAGAUCCAGUGACCUUACACAGGAAUGCUUAGCACGUUUACCAUACAUUUAAAAUCUGUUCUUUAGCAAUCAGUCCUUUUAUAGCUUUCUAAGUUCUUAUUAAUGGUUAAUACGCAAGAAUUAAUUUUUAAUAUCUUAAUUGAUUUCUUUAAUCAGUUUCUCAACUUGUAUUUAUUAAACACUCAAACUCAGUAUUACCUACUCAAUGCCUUUUAAAAGAAAGUUAUAAUGGAGAAAAAAGUUGAGCCUUAAACAAAUGGUUACUUCUGUAUAUUACCUCGUACCAGUGCUUCAUCCAUCCUAUUUGUAAAAUCUUUCUCCUUUAAAUGGUUGGUUGAUAUUUUGAGACUUUGUUUACGUGUGGCAGUGUUGUAAAAAGAAACUAAAGAUCACAUUUUACCUGUAUGGAUGGAAUAUCCCUUUCUUCAAGUACAGUUUGUGAUGUUUUGUAAUUAACAUAUUCUGAAACUUAAAAUUGAUAUUGGAAAUUGACUGUAUUUAGUUGAAGAGUUAAGUAUUCGAUUCCAUUAGGUUUUCACAUGUGUUAAUCUCAUUUACAGCAUUGAAUUGUGGCAGUAACAUUUUCCUUUCUGUGAAGUUCUAAAUUUAGUUAUGACCUACUUAGUAAUGCUUUUGAAAAGGGAUAUUGUAUCCAUGGUAAAUUAAUUGCAUACCUAAACAGAGAUAGCUCAGCUUUGCCUGUCAGGCUUGUAAUUGACAUCUAGUAGACUUCUGCACAUGUAAAAUUGAAUUCAAGUAAAGUCAUGUAUACUUUCUAGUUCUUAAUAUUUAUCUUUCUGAAUAAUAGUUUAAAGCAAUAUUUGUUAAAGUUUUCUUGCACUAUCACAAUUGCUUUUUAGUUAUUUCUCAAGAAGCAUGUUCGUAGUAGAGACAAAAUCUGUGUAACAGGAGGGAGAAUAGCACCGAGUCUCUGGGCUAUUUUUUAUUUUUGCAAAUGUGCAUUGUAAUAGCCAUUGCCUUCCAUGUUGUUUACCUAAUCAGCACAUUUUGUCUGAAUACUUGAACAUUUUAACAGUAACACAGGUAUAGAAACACAAAGGAAACUUAUAAAGAGUAAUCUUUUGGUUCAUUUUCAGCAUCAUGACAAUGAGCGCUUUUUCUAGCAAUGAUUUUUCAAUUGUGUAAGUUUGACAGUAUUUUGUUGUUAGGUUUUUAUUUGGUUUUAUUUGUGCUUUUAAUUUGCAGACGUUAGUAACCGCAGCUCACCUACUGCACCAAAGUUCUCGAUUUUAGGAGCCCAGCUUUAGUCAUUUGAACAUGCUUCUAAGUAAAAUGAAACAAAAAAACCAAAACUAUACUUUUGACUUAUAAUAAUAGCUCAAUAACUUUGUCAAGGAAAGCUCUUAAUAUAUGCAGUGAUGGUUUAUGGAAGGGUGUGGCAAGUUUUGAAUUUAUAUUGUGUGUGAUGUUCAAAUAAAGUGAUAUCUACAUUCAUGUGACUUAUUGGUCAGCAUGACCAUUAAUUAUUGAAUAGAAAUGGAUUAAACUUUGAUUUCCUUUUUUUAAAUCGUGUUGCAUUUGAUUCCUGAUCAAAUUCCCUCAAAAUGAACUCUUAAUUCUUGAAUUUUGAAUUUUAUGGUGAGAUUGUAAAGGUAGAGGCAGUUGAAACAUUGUUCCUUAUUUAUAAAUGGCUUGAAAUGAAUAUUUAAGUUUGCACUUUAAUACCAAACUUAAACCCAGCACUCAUUUCAAAGUAGGUUACGUGAUCAUGAUUCAUCUUUUUAGCUUUGUGAAAUUCUAAAGGAAUCAAAUAAUUCAUGAUGAUUUAAAGUUUCUGCAGAUUGAUUUUUUAAAACAGUAUUUCUUUCCUACGAAUAUUGUCAUCCCUCCUGCCCCCGUCUCUCCCUAUUACAGUGUUCAUUGUCGUUGACCUCAACAGCAAAUUUAACUUGAAUUCACUUAGGAUCGCAGGAAUCAGGGGAAAGUGAUUUUAAAAGUGGUUUCUCCAGCACAUUUUAAGAAAAGGGACCAAAAGUUAUUUUAGCUUCCUCAAUAGAUUGCAUGUUGCCUAUUAGGAUAAUAAAUUAAUAUUAAAUGCAAUAUAUGUCUUGUCUUUACUAUGGCAUCUGUUUAGGAGUUGUUCAAAUCACUGCAGUAGGGCUCUGCAAAUAAAAUCAUGUAACCUUUUGUCAUGGAUCUAAUGUACUGUAACUUUAUCAGUGAACGGUAAAAAUCUCAAAUAACAAGUACAAACAUUGAACAAUUACCUAUAAAGAUUUGUAAAAGUAAAUUUUUUCCAAUAGAUUUCAUUCUUGUCAUUUUGUAAGAUGACCCUGCAGUCCACCUGUUUGUAACUUUUUUAAUAAAAUAGACAUCUGUAUUA